UAAAGACUAGAACAAAAGAUUAAAUAUUUUAAUCUAUUUAUUUAUUUUACUUUAUUAAACUUUUUCUAAAUGUUAUAAAACAUUUAUUCUAUAGAAAGACGACAAGACCCUAUUGAACUUAACUUAAGUUUAACUGGGGAAGUUAAUUAAUUAUAAUUUUAAUUAAUAUUAAUAAUUAAAAAUCUAAUAUUAUUAAUUAAUUCAGUUACCAUAGGGAUAACAGCGCAAUUAAACUUUAAAGUCCUUAUUUAAAGAAUAGAUUACGACCUCGAUGUUGAAUUAAUAUCCUACUUCAAGCAAAUUUAAAACAAGGAAGUCUGUUCGACUUACAAUAAAUUACAUGAUUUGAGUUCAGACCGGUGUAAGCCAGGUCGGUUUCUAUCUUCUAUAAACUUUUAUAUAGUACGAAAGGACCUAUAACUAUAAUUUAAUUAUAUUAAAUUGGCAGAUUAAUGCAUUAGAAUUAGAAUCUAAAUAAUCUUUAA
This 485-nucleotide ribosomal RNA is filed under the name Chinophrys pengi. RNAcentral's name for it is "partial 16S ribosomal RNA". The stretch from base 90 to 390 matches the Rfam family "Bacterial large subunit ribosomal RNA", at positions 2071 to 2649 of the family's 2925-position model. Lineage: Eukaryota; Metazoa; Arthropoda; Arachnida; Araneae; Salticidae. The record is from RNAcentral.